GAUGAACGCUGGCGGCGUGCCUAAUACAUGCAAGUCGAGCGAACAGAUGAGGAGCUUGCUCCUCUGACGUUAGCGGCGGACGGGUGAGUAACACGUGGAUAACCUACCUAUAAGACUGGGAUAACUUCGGGAAACCGGAGCUAAUACCGGAUAAUAUAUUGAACCGCAUGGUUCAAUAGUGAAAGACGGUUUUGCUGUCGCUGAUAGAUGGAUCCGCGCCGCAUUAGCUAGUUGGUAGGGUAACGGCUUACCAAGGCAACGAUGCGUAGCCGACCUGAGAGGGUGAUCGGCCACACUGGAGCUGAGACGCGGUCCAGACUCCUACGGGAGGCAGCAGUAGGGAAUCUUCCGCAAUGGGCGAAAGCCUGACGGAGCAGCGCCGCGUGAGUGAUGAAGGUCUUCGGAUCGUAAAACUCUUUUAUUAGGGAAGAACAAAUGUGUAAGUAACUAUGCACGUCUUGACGGUACCUAAUCAGAAAGCCACGGCUAACUACGUG
This 497-nucleotide ribosomal RNA is filed under the name uncultured bacterium. Its description in RNAcentral is "partial 16S ribosomal RNA". It matches the Rfam family "Bacterial small subunit ribosomal RNA", at positions 28 to 507 of the family's 1533-position model. The record is from RNAcentral.